GAGGGAUUCAAACUAUAUGGGGUAACUGAGAUUUUGGCACACCACGAGCAACUGUGUCAAGCGCAUUUUGUCCCUGGCCACAUUAAAGAAGUUGAUGCAGACUUCAUAGUUGGUGCUUUUUCUCCCAACUUAAGUGAAGAAGGAUCUGUCAGACGUCAGCAAGAAUUGAUCUCUUUCAAUUUUCUGCAAGACUGUCUGCAGAAUCUGAAAAACAGAGAUGGAGACCAUGAAGAAAAACUCAGUGCAAGUGAAGAAGAAAUGUCUGGUACAACAGAAAUGAAUGGCAAGGGAGGCGAACAUCCUUCACUACAGAAUUUCUUUUGAUGGGUGACAGGUCAUGCUCACAUUCCGCUGAUUGAGUCUCAACAAAGCAUGCUCAAAAUCACCAUAAAUUUUUAGCAUGACUGCAGCUCCCAUUAUGGGGAACAUAGCACAUGUUACCUAGCUGUCAAUGCCUGUGGGGUUAGUGUCACAUUUCCCACACGCCACUUGGGACCAUACACCGACUUCGAAAGGAACCUAAACACUGCCCUGGAGUUUGGUUAUGAAUUUAGCAGGUACUAAAUUAUGAAGAACUCAAGUUAUGUUUAAGUGUUUUGCAGCUAAAGCUUAGUUGUAGUUGUUGCAACCCUGCAGUUUUGAAAAGACAAAACACUUUUUAGAAAAAUGUAUUUUAAAUUGUUUACAUUGGCAUGUUCAGCUCUACAUGUUAUCUUUUUAAAAACAAUAAAUCUUACCAAAGAAUUGCUUUACAGUUAUAAAAUUUACACUUCACGAGUAAAAGUUUCAGGGUAACAAAGUUUCUUGUAUGACAUUUCAGACUAGGCAGGUGAGUGUAAUGGCAACAGAAGUACAUGCAGUGUUUUCAUGAUUACAUAGCAUUUCAAAUUAUUACUCUAUACCAAAUUUUCAAAAGUAAACAUAUAUUCAAUUACACAUUUAAAGUAGCCAGAUAUUCACGACACAUGAGGUAGAGGCUCCUGUUGUCCAGAUCAUUGU
Long non-coding RNA from Melanotaenia boesemani (Boeseman's rainbowfish), 999 nucleotides. RefSeq lists it as uncharacterized. Lineage: Eukaryota; Metazoa; Chordata; Actinopteri; Atheriniformes; Melanotaeniidae. The record is from RefSeq and is a predicted model, not a curated record. The transcript is spliced from 3 exons.